Molecule: non-coding RNA, 432 nt
Organism: Cricetulus griseus (Chinese hamster)
Lineage: Eukaryota; Metazoa; Chordata; Mammalia; Rodentia; Cricetidae
Source: RefSeq, a predicted model, not a curated record
CGGAUCAGGAUGUUGCUGCCCACUACUUCUCCAGCACCAUGCCUGCCAUGCCUGAUAGAUACCAUGUUUCCUGCCACGUCGAUAAUGGACUAAACCUCUAAAACUACAGUAUCCUUUUGGUGAAAACUACAUGGGAAAAAACUGGAUCCUCAACACAACAACCAGUUCCACCUUCCCAGACACAUUGCUGCCAGGGCUUCACAUGACUGCUGUCCCAGCAACGUAACUGUUCCUUCCAGGGACAUCCUGAGCCACCUGGCUGCUGAUCCAACAUAAGAUGAUCGAGAAGGAAACAAAGGUACCAAUUUGUACUUGUAGGGACAUAAGGAUGCUCAUGGUGUGAAGAUACAGGCUUUUCAUUUGUCAUCAGAAGGAAGCAUAGAAUAAUUGCUACAGGGACUGAUGGAACAUAUGCAUGACACUACAAAUAAA